Molecule: ribosomal RNA, 593 nt
Filed under: Pseudoalteromonas sp.
Lineage: Bacteria; Pseudomonadati; Pseudomonadota; Gammaproteobacteria; Alteromonadales; Pseudoalteromonadaceae
Description: bacterial SSU rRNA
Rfam family: Bacterial small subunit ribosomal RNA
Source: RNAcentral
AAGCCUGACGGCAGGCCUAAACAUGCAAGUCGAGCGGUAACAGAGAGUAGCUUGCUACUUUGCUGACGAGCGGCGGACGGGUGAGUAAUGCUUGGGAACAUGCCUUGAGGUGGGGGACAACAGUUGGAAACGACUGCUAAUACCGCAUAAUGUCUACGGACCAAAGGGGGCUUCGGCUCUCGCCUUUAGAUUGGCCCAAGUGGGAUUAGCUAGUUGGUGAGGUAAUGGCUCACCAAGGCAACGAUCCCUAGCUGGUUUGAGAGGAUGAUCAGCCACACUGGGACUGAGACACGGCCCAGACUCCUACGGGAGGCAGCAGUGGGGAAUAUUGCACAAUGGGCGCAAGCCUGAUGCAGCCAUGCCGCGUGUGUGAAGAAGGCCUUCGGGUUGUAAAGCACUUUCAGUCAGGAGGAAAGGUUAGUAGUUAAUACCUGCUAGCUGUGACGUUACUGACAGAAGAAGCACCGGCUAACUCCGUGCCAGCAGCCGCGGUAAUACGGAGGGUGCGAGCGUUAAUCGGAAUUACUGGGUGUUAAGCGUACGCAGGCGGUUUGUUAAACGAGAUGUGAAAGCCCCGGGCUCAAACUGGGAAC